Long non-coding RNA from Oreochromis niloticus (Nile tilapia), 711 nucleotides. RefSeq lists it as uncharacterized. The transcript has 5 exons. The record is from RefSeq and is a predicted model, not a curated record. NCBI's taxonomy places the organism in Eukaryota, Metazoa, Chordata, Actinopteri, Cichliformes, Cichlidae.
AAAAUAAAGUGUACUGCAAAGUGGCGGAUGAAAGCGGGAAGAAGCUCUCUGUGGAAGUGGCCAUUAUGCUGAAACUUGCAGGUGAAGCAGAAGGGUCAGUGGGAACAUCAGCACCUGUGUCCUUGCUGGAGUGGUUCGACAUUGGCAAAGAACUGAUCCUGGUGCUGGAGAGACCUGUCCCCGCUGUGGACCUGCAAAAAUACAAAGCAGAAAAUGGAGAUCUUUACCAGAGGACAAGGCCAAGGUCAUUCUGAAGCAACUAGUUGAUGCUGCAAAGGAACUUGAGGAUAAACACAUCUUUCAUCGGGACAUCAAGGGAGAAAACAUUCUGAUUGAGACCGGCUCAGAUGUGCCUCGUGUUCGCAUCAUUGACUUUGGACUGAGCUGCUUUGUUAAGCAGCGAUCUCUGUAUCGCGUCUUCUAUGGUACUCCUCUUCACACCCCUCCCGAGUGGUACAGGAGGAGCUGCUACAGGUGUGGACCCACCACGGUGUGGCAAAUGGGAGUGGUGCUGUAUGAAGCGGUUCAUGCACGGGACUUUGAUACCGAGAGGUUCCUCAGCAAGAAACUGACCAUCAAAAAGCGUCUGUCCACAAAAUGCCGGAAUUUCUUGGAAGCAUGCUUAACUAAAGUCCGGAGAAGCGCCCAACACUGGAGGAGCUCCAGCAUCACCCCUGGCUAAGAUAACACACACAAGCACACAAAUCACAC